UUAAUUGAAGCCAAAGGGGAGAGGCACCUUAAUGUUAAUAAGGUUAAUGAUUUUUUAAGUCCAAUUAAG
Molecule: transfer RNA, 69 nt
Filed under: Nesophrosyne sp. 23 GMB-2012
Lineage: Eukaryota; Metazoa; Arthropoda; Insecta; Hemiptera; Cicadellidae
Description: tRNA-Asn
Source: RNAcentral